RNA transcript from Vigna angularis (adzuki bean), 1789 nucleotides. It is a transcript of the gene named mediator of RNA polymerase II transcription subunit 12-like, with no coding region annotated. The record is from RefSeq and is a predicted model, not a curated record. NCBI's taxonomy places the organism in Eukaryota, Viridiplantae, Streptophyta, Magnoliopsida, Fabales, Fabaceae. The transcript has 8 exons.
UAAUUUUUCGGGCUAAUCAGUAAAUAUUUUCUAUUAACCCUAGUUUCCUUCCCGUUUCUGCUUUCCGUCUCUGUGCUCUCAUUUUUGUUCAUCUUCAAGGUAUGGAACUCUUUGGGCCUUGAUCUCACUUUCGCAAUCAAGUUCAAUAGGUAGGGUUUUCUACCGAUUCGUCUUCGCUCAUCUUCGUCUAGAGGGUUCGUAGUUCGUUUCCCCUUCUUCCGCGGCUUCCUCUAUUCGCCCACUCGAUUUUCACCAGAUUCAUGGUUUCUCACCAAUCUGCCAUGACCUGGGGUCAUCAGAGCCUAGGUUAGGCGCGUUCGUUUGAGCUAAGUGUUUUUCUUAACUUUUCUGUUGUAAAUUUGACUUUCAGAAUUUUGUUGCAUUGAGCUAAGUUUGUAUUCAUGGAGCUAAUUUGAUCUUUGUUCUUCUCCCUUUUUAAUUUUAAAGGAUUAUAGGAACAUAAAUCUUUAAUCAGAAUGUAGCAUGGAUCUUGCUCUGAACUACUUUGUUUUAUUUUAUUUUUGCAAUAUCCUAAGGCAAUUGCAGCAGGAGACAGCCUCUAUGCGUGGAAGUCAAAUGUUGAUGCAGCAGGGUUUCUACUGCACAUUUGGUUCUAUGAAAGUGUCCUCUGAUCAGGCACAGCUGUUUGCAAUGCUUGUGCAGAUUCUUGGAGAAGAACGGUGUAUUGAAGUUGGCGUUUAUACAGUUACUUUUAAAUGAACAAGCCCUCAUUGAAAAAGUGGAGAAUCAUGAUGUGCCCUUGUAUGAUGCUAUAAAGUUUUCCUCACCUAGUCCUGAGAAGGCUGCUAGUGCUUCUGAGAAUGAGAACAAUUUUAUUCAAAUACUUCUCACUAGGUUACUGGUUAGACCUGAUGCUGCACCCCUUUUUGCAGAAUUGAUUCAUCUCUUUGGUAGGUCACUAGAGGAUUCAAUGUUGUUGCAAGCUAAAUGGUUCCUUGGAGGCUAGGAUGUCCUCUUUGGCCGGAAGGCCAUUAGACAAAGGUUGCAUAACAUUGCUGUUAAUAAAAAACUUUCUCUUAAGACCCAAUUUUGGGAACCUUGGGGUUGGUGUAGGCCGACUACUGAUUCAUUGACUAUAGAAGGGGAUAACAAGAAGUUUGACAACACCUCUCUUGAAGGAGAAGUUGUUGAAGAGGGAACAUAUUUGAAAAGGUGCCAGCAGCAAGUGAUUGAGAGGGCUCUUACCGAGUUGCUUCUUCCUUCCAUAGAUCAAAGCUCUGAUGAAGCUCGCAAUUCUUUUGCAACUGACUUGGUAAAACAAUUGAGUUAUAUUGAGACACACAUAAUUGCUAUUACAGGUGGAAGUAAACCAUUGGGAAGUGCUCCUGCUGGAGUUGAAGGUCAGCCAAAUAAAGUAAAUAACCGCAAAAAUUUGAGAACUGGAAGUGCUGCAUUAUCUAGACGACCAAUAGUGGCAACAAAUUCUUCUCCACCAUCUCCUGCAGCCCUACGAGCUUCUAUGUCAUUACAAUUGCAGUUGCUCCUGAGAUUUCUUCCUACUCUUUGCACUGACAGUAACUGGAAAAUUGUGGCCAAAGUUGUAUGAAAUCAAGGUUAGUCCUAUAACGACACCCAUUGAUGAAGGAACCAUUGAGGAACUUUGCUUGCCAGAUAUCCACCACAAGGAGCUCAAACUCAAUAGACAAUAUUUGCUAAGCCAAAUUAAAAGGAAGACCUUAAGUUGAUUGAGGACUUUAAAAUUGGCUUUGGAAUAAAUGUAAGAUACAAGAUAUUUUGACAUUAAAUAUAAUUGUAUGUUUAUCUUUUA